UCGCCGUGGAGCUGGAUUGUGGGCGGAAACAGGAUAUUCGGAGCGAGCGUCGGGCUGAGGUGUGUUUAUGGGAGUUUUUAGGGCCGAUUUCUGAAGAAGUGGAGUUUCAGCCUGACAGGAAAAAGCGGCGGAGACAAAGAGCAGGAACUCCGGUGUUAGUUGGACGGCGGUGGGACUCUCCUCCCGGCUCUGGACGACUGAGGCACCAUGAAGAGGUUCAAGCGACACGGCCACGAAUCGCAGCGGGAUCGCCUCAAGCAUGAGCUCUUCCAGUUCACCAAGACGGUGGAGCAUGGAUUCCCCCACCAGCCCAGCGCUCUGGGCUACAGCCCUUCUCUUCAGCUCAUGGCCAUUGGGACUCGCUCUGGAGCCAUCAAACUGUAUCCUCUCAUUGAAGCCUGAGACUAAAGGCUGCCG
Long non-coding RNA from Cyprinodon variegatus (sheepshead minnow), 417 nucleotides. RefSeq lists it as uncharacterized. The transcript has 3 exons. Lineage: Eukaryota; Metazoa; Chordata; Actinopteri; Cyprinodontiformes; Cyprinodontidae. The record is from RefSeq and is a predicted model, not a curated record.